RNAcentral lists this ribosomal RNA (1252 nucleotides) under Candidatus Phytoplasma trifolii. RNAcentral's name for it is "bacterial SSU rRNA". It matches the Rfam family "Bacterial small subunit ribosomal RNA", at positions 153 to 1401 of the family's 1533-position model. The record is from RNAcentral. Lineage: Bacteria; Bacillati; Mycoplasmatota; Mollicutes; Acholeplasmatales; Acholeplasmataceae.
GAAACGACUGCUAAGACUGGAUAGGAAACAAAAAGGCAUCUUUUUGUUUUUAAAAGACCUUCUUACGAAGGUAUGCUUAAAGAGGGGCUUGCGCCACAUUAGUUAGUUGGUAGAGUAAAAGCCUACCAAGACGAUGAUGUGUAGCUGGACUGAGAGGUUGAACAGCCACAUUGGGACUGAGACACGGCCCAAACUCCUACGGGAGGCAGCAGUAGGGAAUUUUCGGCAAUGGAGGAAACUCUGACCGAGCAACGCCGCGUGAACGAUGAAGUAUUUCGGUAUGUAAAGUUCUUUUAUUGAAGAAGAAAAAGUAGUGGAAAAACUAUAUUGACGUUAUUCAAUGAAUAAGCCCCGGCUAACUAUGUGCCAGCAGCCGCGGUAAGACAUAGGGGGCGAGCGUUAUCCGGAAUUAUUGGGCGUAAAGGGUGCGUAGGCUGUUAGAUAAGUCUAUAAUUUAAUUUCAGUGCUUAACGCUGUCUUGUUAUAGAAACUGUCUUGACUAGAGUGAGAUAGAGGCAAGCGGAAUUCCAUGUGUAGCGGUAAAAUGUGUAAAUAUAUGGAGGAACACCAGAAGCGUAGGCGGCUUGCUGGGUCUUUACUGACGCUGAGGCACGAAAGCGUGGGUAGCAAACAGGAUUAGAUACCCUGGUAGUCCACGCCGUAAACGAUGAGUACUAAGUGUCGGGGUAAAACUCGGUACUGAAGUUAACACAUUAAGUACUCCGCCUGAGUAGUACGUACGCAAGUAUGAAACUUAAAGGAAUUGACGGGACUCCGCACAAGCGGUGGAUCAUGUUGUUUAAUUCGAAGAUACCCGAAAAAUCUUACCAGGUCUUGACAUACUCUGCAAAGCUAUAGAAAUAUAGUGGAGGUUAUCAGGAAUACAGGGGGUGCAUGGUUGUCGUCAGUUCGUGUCGUGAGAUGUUAGGUUAAGUCCUAAAACGAGCGCAACCCUUGUCGUUAAUUGCCAGCACAUAAUGGUGGGGACUUUAACGAGACUGCCAAUUAAACAUUGGAGGAAGGUGAGGAUUACGUCAAAUCAUCAUGCCCCUUAUGAUCUGGGCUACAAACGUGAUACAAUGGCUGUGACAAAGAGUAGCUGAAACGCGAGUUUUUAGCCAAUCUCAAAAAAGCAGUCUCAGUUCGGAUUGAAGUCUGUAACUCGACUUCAUGAAGUUGGAAUCGCUAGUAAUCGCGAAUCAGCAUGUCGCGGUGAAUACGUUCUCGGGGUUUGUACACACCGCCCGUCAAA